This 238-nucleotide long non-coding RNA is filed under the name Musa acuminata (dwarf banana). Its description in RNAcentral is "long non-coding RNA (MACU_LNC010954)". Lineage: Eukaryota; Viridiplantae; Streptophyta; Magnoliopsida; Zingiberales; Musaceae. The record is from RNAcentral.
GCCGGUAGAGCAUCGCAGGCUUUAAACACAUACCCUUUACCAUUUCUGGCAAAGGUCCAGACAAUCCCACAAACACCAGAGUACAAGAGGGCAGUUUUAACAAUAAUUAGCAUAUAUCGGAAGCACACGCGGAACAACAAAACGUACAUGUGCCUUUUCGAGACAAUACGAUGCAAGGAACAAAUCUCUCACAAAUGUAUUCAAAUUUGGAAUGAAAUGAAAGCAAGAGUAUACAGGG